AUGAGUCUUUGUUUUGUGACUUACUUAGAGAGAAAGAGGCGUCGUUAUUUGAGAGAACGGGCCGUGGUGGAGAUGUUACACGACCCCACGUUUAUUCCUCAGAAUUCUGAUCCAAAUUCCAGUCCAAACCAAGGCCAUGAUCCUGAGAGAGUCAGGCGUACACCAAGUAUGUGGCAUAUGUGCACAAGGUCUGCACCAGCCCCUGUGAAAGUAACUGAAAGACUGGAUAGAGUAGAGAGUAAUCAGGAAGGUAGGAUGGAGGAACUGUCUGCUGUGCUUCAUCGUGAUGAGCCCUGUGAACCCGUGCCUGCAUCAUCCAGUGUCUCAGCUGUUAAGACGUCCUCCUGGCUUGCGGAAUCAAACUCUAUAAUCCAGAGAUGGGUUAUAAAGCAGGUAUGUUUAUUCCAGCGUUGCGCAGUGCCAGGUGCAAGGGGGAUAGCUCCUUCAAACUUGCACACCGACUUGUAAAAUCGGGACACAGUUAUAGGUACAUUUAAUACAUAGUCAAUGAUUUCUCGGAAUUCUGAUACAUAGUCAAUGAUUUCUUAGACUUCUAAUACAUAGUCAAUAGUUCUAGGAAUUCUGGUACAUAUUCAAUAGCUCUUUAGCAUACAGACCCCCUCUUUGUCUUUAGCAUACAGGACCCCUUGUUCUUAUCAGGGGAAUGCAACUCCUCUUCUGGUCGUCCGUGAGUUUCACACCUUAUCUGCAUCCUCCCUGCUCUCUCAAGCCCCUUGUUUCUUUUACUUGUUACCUUUAAGUUUCUUUUACUUAUUUCUAUAAACUACCUUUAAGUUUCCUUUACUUGUUUCUAUAAACUACCUUUAACUAUCCCCCUUUUAGCCCCCCUUUAUUCCGAAUUCCAGCAGAACAUCUGUUUCCUGCUUCACUGUUCAAUCCAGCUCAAGCAAGUGACAACAGUAAGAUUAUGUUGCGUAUUGCCUUGUGGAAUUGCUUGCGUGAGCAUGGAGAAAAUAUGAAGAAGUGGCAUAAAAAAAACCCCUCCUGCACUUCAAGCAUGCAUAAAAGAAUAGCAAGACAGAUCAGCCUCCAUGGCGAUCUCUUCUAAAAAGGUGAUCGCUCCAGUUGCUGUGGGACGGGAUUAUUGUACUGUAUUGUGUUAUCUUGCAUUCCGAUAUUACAUUUAGUAAAUUAGCUUUCCUCCUCAGAUUGUUGCCGCUGUUUUGUUUUUAGGCUCAUCUCCCUACCCUUUCCCCCAUUUCCUGACCCUCUUUCUACCCUGUAGAAGUCUCUCCCAACCCCCCAGCUUUCCCCUUCCACCCCUCACCUCCCCUUCAGGCCCCCUUUACUCCCCUUAGAAGAAGCCUUACUCACCCCAUUCCCCCCUACACAUCUUCCUCCCCAUUGCCCCAAGUUUCAAGUUUCCCCUCCAGGCUCCCUUUCCACCCCAUAGAAACCUAUCCCCUGUCUUCCUCACCAGUGUUGUUUUUUUCUUUUGAUUUUUUCU
This 1468-nucleotide long non-coding RNA is filed under the name Coturnix japonica (Japanese quail). Its description in RNAcentral is "lncRNA (ENSCJPG00005007672.1)". The record is from RNAcentral. Lineage: Eukaryota; Metazoa; Chordata; Aves; Galliformes; Phasianidae.